RNAcentral lists this long non-coding RNA (1024 nucleotides) under Phasianus colchicus (ring-necked pheasant). Its description in RNAcentral is "lncRNA (ENSPCLG00000004956.1)". The record is from RNAcentral. Lineage: Eukaryota; Metazoa; Chordata; Aves; Galliformes; Phasianidae.
GAAAACCUCAUUUCAAGCUGAAAACUGCUUGGGAUUUCAAUGUUGACAAUGAAAAUAUUGUUUGUGGAAUUGCUGAAUGCUCAGGUAAUCUCUAUAAAGCAACAGCCUACUCGAGCAACUAGUAGACCAAGAGUAAAGGAGUAAUACAGUGACAUCAUUCUUCACUUAUUACAGCCUUUUCCAUCUAUGUACGUACUGAAAAAGAAGAAAAGAACUGUGAGAUGUAGUUGUUUCUGUCAUCUCCCAACCUGAUUUCAGAACACACACAGGUUUCCUUUUUCUCAUUUAUAAUUUGGUGGUAUUCAAAAGGCAUAAUAUCUCAGGCAGUGCAGAAGAUGUGAUCGAAGGAUUAUUUCUACUCAGCCUUUAUGUUCAUGUAAUGAAAGGUGUGAAGCACCACCAGAGAAUGAAGGAAAAGCUUCCUUGGACAUUAAUAGGUUGACUGCUAUGUCGCUGAACUUGGUGCAUGAAAGGUCAGCCUUUGAAACGCUAAAUAAGUUGAAGAAGAUUAUAAAGUAUAUAUGGAAAAGUAUGCAUCCUACAGUAGCAUUUGUAUUAAAGGACCGCUUUGUGGGAGGCUUUCUGUUUCAGCAGCUCCCUGAAGUGAGCACCAUGACUGCGAAUCUCAAAGUGAAGAAACACAACUCUUCAGAAGGGAACAGUUAUUCUUAGCUUUGUUUUACUGAUGUUUUUCUUCCUUUUUCUCCUUUUUAAAAAGAAAACAGAGAGCCUGCCAAAAUUUGGACUCUUUGAUGUGCUUUGGAAAGAAAAACAAUGCUAUCUAUCCAAGUAAUCUGAAAGGAACAAAAAUAUGUCAUUCUAAGGCACUAAUUUCUUGAAAGGAACAAUCAAUAUAUAUCACAAUUAAGGCUGGUCACAAAUUUUUUUGAAUAUUUUGCUGGAAAAUUUUGACUAAGAUAUUUUCAGAGAAAUUUGCCUGUUUAAACGAAACUUCAUUUUGGGAAAAGAUUCUCUGAUAAAAGGCAGCAGAGGGAAAGAAACUGAUAUUUGCUGUAUAUAUUUG